GGGCGUGUGGCGGAAUUGGUAUACGCGUACGACUCAGACUCGUAUGGAGCAAUCCUUGGAGGUUCGAGUCCUCUCACGCCCA
Molecule: transfer RNA, 82 nt
Filed under: Candidatus Parcubacteria bacterium
Lineage: Bacteria; Candidatus Parcubacteria
Description: tRNA-Leu
Rfam family: tRNA
About the family: Transfer RNA (tRNA) molecules are approximately 80 nucleotides in length. Their secondary structure includes four short double-helical elements and three loops (D, anti-codon, and T loops).
Source: RNAcentral